GAUUCUCCAGAUAAACCUUCACAAAGCUGCUGGAUCAUCGCACUAAGAUUGGAGGAAGAAGCUUCCCAUCCGCACAAACACUGAGAUCUCAGCACUCAACCCUGAGGAAAGAGAAAGAUGCCCAUUUCUGAAAAAUGUUUACUGCAGGUUAGAAGAUAAAGAAGAAAUCUGAAUCUCUGAUUCAAAGCCAUUGUCACAAGUUAAAAGCUUACAAAGAAACAGAACUCAAAAUCCCUGCUGUUGCAAUCACUUCCUAAUAGAUACUGAAUUUCAUGAAGAAACCAAAUUCCUAAAUCAAGAUGCAUGAGAGCUAAAAAGAGGAAACUGAGGAAGCUGCAAUGUGGUUUAGAAAUGGGCUAGAGUCUGGACUCCAGAUGAUGUCACUUCCUCUUGAGUGCAGUCGUUGCUGUGGUAACUGUGGCUGAUUGUUUGAUCAGGUCCACUGCAUGAGACGUUCACCACACAGACGUUAACACUUA
This is a long non-coding RNA of Puntigrus tetrazona (Sumatra barb), 479 nucleotides long. RefSeq lists it as uncharacterized. The transcript is spliced from 4 exons. Lineage: Eukaryota; Metazoa; Chordata; Actinopteri; Cypriniformes; Cyprinidae. The record is from RefSeq and is a predicted model, not a curated record.